This is a non-coding RNA of Flavobacterium fryxellicola, 173 nucleotides long. The record is from Rfam. Lineage: Bacteria; Pseudomonadati; Bacteroidota; Flavobacteriia; Flavobacteriales; Flavobacteriaceae.
UUUAUCGUGAGGUAUGCACUGAAGGCAGCGAAACGGCAAAAGUCUGUACCGACGAACAGAAAUUGCAUAAGAGGCAUUUAGUAGGGGAUAAGCGUCCACAGCAACGUAAAGUCCGAAGUUUACAAAAACCUAUUAGAUGUAGAUGCAGCGGGAAUAGACGGAAGGAAAGAGUU